RNAcentral lists this long non-coding RNA (815 nucleotides) under Nicotiana benthamiana. RNAcentral's name for it is "long non-coding RNA (NBEN_LNC013798)". The record is from RNAcentral. Lineage: Eukaryota; Viridiplantae; Streptophyta; Magnoliopsida; Solanales; Solanaceae.
AUCCAUAUACUGAUGCAGUCGAACAUGGACUGAGAGUUGUCCUUAUAGCUUCAGUGCUGAUGUCAAGAAAAAGUGAAUAACCAUGUUGUUUGAUGAGUAGGUUACGCUCUUGUUCUGUCAGAAGUUCAUCAUUGAGAUGUUGCAUCUUCUGUUGUACAAGGCUAAGUGUUUUUAGACCAUGUUGUUUGAUGAUAGGUUACGCACUUGUUCUGUCAGAAGUUCAUCAUUGAGAUGUUGCUUCUUCUGUUGUACAAAGCUAAGUGUUUUUAGUUAGUAAGGCUUUCUUGGUGUAAAGAAAGGGUGGCCUGUUUGCAAGCAUUUCCGUUUCGUUUCGUUAUAACUUCAAAUACUUUACUUUAUCCAAAGAAGUUUUAACUCGAUUGGCAGCAUAAAUAAGAUGGCCGUAAGUAGCACCAACAUGAAAGAAAAAGAACUAUGUGUUAUGAAACAUGAGCGUAGUUAGCUAGGCAGCAGAAGUCCAUUAUUUAGCUUAAACAGAUGAUCUAUGCUGCCUCGUCCCCUCCAUGCUACAGAAAUAUAACACUCUUUUUACUCCUAAGCCGUGCAUCUAUUUUUGCGAGCAGAAAUAGCAUCCUUUUUGUUGUUCUCUCUUUAUGUCUCCUUUGAUUGCGUAGGUAACUUGGUUUCAGUUCUUUUUCCACUUUUCCUGUUUCCUCCUUUUCUCCGUUGUAGGUUGGGGAGAUUUGGAGGUUGUUGGACAAGGAAACAAUUGUCCAUCUUGCGUUGGAGUACAUAAUUACUGGUCGACAUAAAUGUGAUUUUCUUAGGUGACAACACGUCUGCAGUGAAUUAGG